CAGCCGCCGCGGUAAUACGUAGGGUGCAAGCGUUGUCCGGAAUCAUUGGGCGUAAAGCGCGCGUAGGCGGCCCGAUAAGUCCGCUGUAAAAGUCAACGGCUCAACUGUUGAAAGCCGGUGGAUACUGUCGGGCUAGAGUACGGAAGAGGCAAGUGGAAUUCCUGGUGUAGCGGUGGAAUGCGCAGAUAUCAGGAGGAACACCUAUAGCGAAGGCAGCUUGCUGGGACGUUACUGACGCUAAGGCGCGAAAGCGUGGGGAGCGAACAGGAUUAGAUACCCUGGUAGUCCACGCCGUAAACGAUGAGAACUAGGUGUGGGAGGUGUCGACUCCUCCCGUGCCGUCGCUAACGCAUUAAGUUCUCCGCCUGGGGAGUACGGCCGCAAGGCUAAAACUUAAAGGAAUUGACGG
Molecule: ribosomal RNA, 409 nt
Filed under: uncultured bacterium
Lineage: Bacteria
Description: bacterial SSU rRNA
Rfam family: Bacterial small subunit ribosomal RNA
Source: RNAcentral